GUGUGUGUGCAUGCAUGCGUGUGUGUGUGUGUGUGCAUGCGUGCGUGCGUGCGUGUGUGUGUGUGUGUGUGUGUGUGUGUGUGUGUGUGUGCCCGCAUUUGUUUUCUCUUUCUGAAACGAUCUCCCUCUGGAUGCCAGUCUGUCCUGGUCCUUGACACAGUCCUUCCUACUUAGUCUCCCCCAUGCCGGGACUCCAGGCAUGAAAGCACCCGGCUCAGCGCUUGGUGCUUUUCUUCUCUGGAUUUCCCCUGACUCCCGUCCCAUUUUGUUAAAGUGACCGACUCUCUGCAAAUGUCCGAGGAACAAAUACUUUUUGGUCAGUGAAGUGUGUGCACUGGGGUCGGGCUUGGAAGCACAUGAAGGUGAUGGGGGUUCUGUCUGUGAGCUCUUGGCUGUUGCAUUUCUCUCUACUUCCACCGGUUGGCUGCAGGGCUAGGGCAGGGCAGAGACCGGAAUAGAAGAGCUAAAUUUAUCCUGGGAGCCCGGGCGUGGCUGCGGCUCAGGCCGCGCGGCCUGGAUGGAGGCGGUGCUCGGUGGCCGCCCUCCCGGAGCUGGUUUCCUCCCUGGGAAAGCAGGUCUCUCCGCGGUGCUGAGGAGCUCGGGCUGGAAUUUCCCCGCAGCGCCGCCCCGCCGGGAGGGACCAGGAGGGAUCUACCCGAGCCCGAUGAGCAGCCCGGGGAGACGCCCGAAACCCAGAACCUGCGCGUUAAAACUGAAAACUUUCCUCCCUUCCACCAUGUCAGUCCCAGGGAUCGAACUUACGCGGUCAGGCACGGUGGUACUCACCAUGGAUGUUUUCCCAGGGGGUAUUCCUGGAAGAGAUUAAGCCUGGGGACUCAUUUCUUCUGGGGACAAUUCAAGGGAAGGUGAGAACAGGCCUCAUUGGGCCUGGUAUAACAGGGUUCUAAUCUCAGCUACCUUCAGGCUGACACUGGAAGCUAGAGAAUUCAAGACCUGCCUGGAAUACAGAGACCCUAGCACAAACCCGAAACCAAUAAAUAACAAAAUCUUCGCUUGAGGAGAUAAGAGGUAAAUGACGGGACAGAGCUAAGGACAAAGGACAGCAAACGGGAUGCCAGUGGUACAAGCGCUUCAUCUCACAGACAAACCCACCGGAGAUGUUUGCUUCCUUGUGGGAAUUCGGCCUGUGUCCCUCUCUUCCCACCAAGGCAGUCUCUAGGCAGAACAGAAGAAAUCACUUAAGUGAUUAAGUACUGAAGGAACCAAGGAGCUAGACGCCAUGGUCUAGAGAAAACUGGGUUGAAUCUUGCUUACAGCAGGAGUGUCUAAGAAGGCCUUGCUUGUCCAGUUCCUAUGAGGUGGUGGCACUGAGUGAGGCCAUUGGUGGGGCCUGAUGUAGAGCAGCUCACAUCCCUUUAGGACAAGGGCUGGCCUUAGCCGGGGCCCUCCCUCAGUUCACAAAGGAUGUGGGAGUUAGCCUGUGGGCAGGAGGGAAUCCAGCUGUGUGGGAACAGGAUGGGUGGGUGAGAGUAUUUAGCCUCAGGGAGCAAAUAGAAGAACCCAGAAGGGAGGGGACCCUAGCUAUGGCCUCUCCAAAGAGCUGACAAAGACUGAACUUUGGUGAAAUGAUCUUUCAUAAUAGCAUGUGGCUGUUUGGUGGUUUUUGUUUUGGUUUUUUGCUUUUUCAAGACAGGGUUUCUCUGUAGCUUUGGAGGCUGUCCUGGAACUAGCUCUUGUAGACCAGGCUGGUCUCGAACUCACAGAGAUCCACCUGCCUCUGCCUCCCGAGUGCUGGGAUUAAAGGCAUGUGCCACCAGCGCCUGGCUUGUGUUUGUUUUUUAAAGAUUUAUUUGUAUUGUAUGUGCAAAGAUGUUUUGCCUGUAUGUAUGUGUGAGGACAUCAGAUCCUCUGGAACUGGGGUUAUAGGCUGUGUGAGCUGCCAUGUGGGUGCUGGAAAAUGAACCCCGGGUCUCUUGAAGAUCAGCCAGAGCUCCUAACUGCUGAACCAUUUCUCCAGCCCUUGUGGGUUGGUUUGUUUUUGAGAUAGGGUCACUUUAAGUAACAAAUCUCUGGCUGUCCUGGGACUCACUUUGUAGACCAAGUCUGGCCUCGAACCUACAGAGAUCCUCUACACUUGCCUGAGUGUAUGGAUGAAGGCCACCACACCUUCUCUUUACUGUUUCGGAAAGAAAUCGAUCCAUAGGGUGCUGACGUAAUGAGGGUGGUGCAGAGACCAGCCGGUACCCACAGGGCUGACCCCUCCUACCCUGUACAGCGGGCACAGUUCCGGACUUCCUGACCUCCAGAUCAGGCCUCUGGAAGCAGCCUCCUACAGGCAGUUGGAAGGGCGUAAUCCCAGAAUUACCCCCUUUUCCCGGGCCAGGCAUCCACUUAAUCCAGGGCUCUUCCCUUUCAAAUUCACCUUCCUCAAACUGGUCCCCAGCCUGGAGGCUGCACUAUGAACCUCCCUAGAAAGCAAAAAGCCUUUAAAAUCCGGUAACUAGGGCAAUAGCAAGGACGGUAAGGUCACAGGCACCCACACUGAAUUCACCUUAGUGUGGGCAGGAUCGGGCCACGAAAGCAAUUCAGAGUACAGUAGGGACCGAAGGACCUUAUGCCUGCCCAAGGUUAAUGACAGGAGUCCGCCUUUACUGUCCACCCCAUCGCUCUAUGUCAGCUCUCUGUUUCCUGUCAUCCCGAGGGUCUCGGAGACCACGAGAGAGAUAUGCAUCCAGCCUGAGUGUGUCCAUCCCGUUUUCCACCCAUGAGCUGAGUCCGCACUGCGGACACACCACGGUCUCCCUGCCGUGACCUGUGAGCACGCGCAUUCCUCCACCUGGGACCCGCAGUUAUGCAGCAGCAGGUCGCUGGGCAUAACUGCCUUGCGGGCUGCCCCGCACUGCCCUUCCCUUCCCGGAGGCAGGUGCGUCCCCCGACCUCUGUGAGUCCUUGCAGCCUCCCCGAGGGACUUGUAGCGCGACUAGCGCCGUCGCGCAAUAUUGAGGCGCGCAGGUCACGGUGACCGCCAACUAUGCUCAAGCAUGGGGCUGAGGCCACAAGCCUUGGGGACAGGGGCGGGGGGCACGGAGCUAUGCAUCUGCAGAGCGCUCGGUUUUCGGAGAGGGGAGCUGAAGCUCGGAGGCGGCUCCUCCAUGCUCCAGUUGAGCGCUGGAAAAACCCGGCGCGCGGGCAGGCCAGGGACGGCGGGAACAAAGGCGGCCGGGGCCGGAUGCAGUCAUGGAAAAACCCAUCGGGGCGCCGGCGCGGGGGCGGCGCGCCUGGCAGCGGCCGCAGCAGCAGCAGCAUCUAGCCGGCCGUUCGGGCGGGCGGGGCCGCUCCCUGCCGGAACCACCACGAGCAAGGGGAGGUCCCGGGAGCGGGAAAAUGCGGGACGGGUCACUAGUCCCCGGAGUCGCCACGCUCCGGGUGCCUGCAAACACUGCGGGCUCGCGGUCGUGCACCCGCCUGGUGCAUGCGAAGUCUUGCACACGGCCCCUUGGCGGGUGGACCAAAGUGCAGCAGCGGGUCGGGUCGCAGCGACCACGUGGGGGGCGCGCACGGAGCCCACACUGGCUCGCACACGCACGCUCCGGUGUGCACACGAUGACUUCCACGCACGUGCGCCCAGACACGCGAGCUGCCCGCAACUCCCGGGGCAGAAGGAAGGAAACAGUCGGGCAGGAAGGGGAGGAAAUGAAAUAGAGGCUCGUUAGGGCGGGCCCCCAGGGCGAGACACUGGAACCUCAGAGGAGCGGGAGGCGGGGGUGGGGAGGCUUUGAAGAAGCCACUUUUAGGACGGCCCCCCACUUUACAGGUGCUGGCUCCGGGCCUCCCACGGCCGGACGUGCCCAGUUCCCGCCUCCGGGCCAGAGUUCCCUCUCGUGCCGGCCGCUGCCCAGCCUAGUCUCGUCUCGUCUAUUUGGCUGCAGAUCUGGAGAGGUGGCGCCCCGACUUUUUUUUUUUUUAAUUCCUGUAGAAACGGAAAGUAUUAGUGCUAGAUGGACCCAUUGACUCCCAAACCUUUUCCUGUUUGAUUCCCCCCCCCCCUCUUUAAUGAAGGAGGAACUGAGCUCGGUGGUGGGAGUUGGCACAGACUCAUCUUAGUUCAUAUAUGUUCCCAUGUUUACUUGUGCUGCUGCCUAUUACCGGGUGGGACAAAGCCUGGCCUGGGGAGCGUGCUCUGCGCACGGUGGGGGUGAACUGCUCAUGGCUACGGUGGCCUAGAGCCUACUUCUGGGAGCAGAAAAGCCCAGGCCCUCCCUCCCUGUGUCAAACAGCCGAUAUGGGUAGUGGGUGGAUGGGGGUGUGGCUCCGGGGAGGCAAAGGAUAAAAAAGCAGGAACCCAGGGCUUCAAAACUUUUAAUUAAAAAACAACUUGGGGUGGGGGGGUAGAGGCAGGCGGAUCUCUGAGUUCGAGGCCAGCCUGGUCUACCCAGUGAGUUUCAGUUCAGCCAGGGCGGUUACGAAGAGAAACUCUUGUCUCAAAACAAGAUAAUAACUGAGGUAGUGGCCGAAGUCUGUUAUCCCAGACCUCGGGAUGCCGGGACAUCAAGGGAUUCGAAGCCAGCCAGUUGGAGCCUAGCUUAAGGCUGCAGGAGACCCGUCUCAAAAACCCCACAAGCCCAACCCCUUUCAAACUAAUCAAACAACAAAGAAAAGGCAGUUGCUCUGAGGUCUGGCUGGGCGAGCACAGACUGGAAGACUGUCAUGGUUCAAUACCACAUAAAUAGGCAGGUGCCUACCCGAUCCCACCGGUUCCAGCGAGUUGGUAUUUGUUUGUGAUCUUUGAAACUGACCUUGGAAUCGGAUGGCUUAGCGUUGCCUCUCUCAAGCCUCUUGGUGUCACCUAAAGUUGUCGAGUCUCAAAUUACUCAUCAGUAAAAUGGGUCCAAGGUUUAUGGUACUGAAAGUAGCCAGUCUCCCUUCGGUCCUAUUUCACUUCUCAGUGGGGUAGGGACCAAUUUUUACUUCCAUAGCUCCUCCUUGGCCACUUCUUAAAAUCCCAGGGGCCUCUCUUAAAUUCUGAUUUCCUGUAAGAGGGAUGUGUGUUUGGCGAGGGAUUUCGGUGUGGUCUGUGGCAGGCAAGGUGGGGGAGUAGCGCCACCUGCUGGACAGAUAUAGUAGAGCCUACUCAGUCAGUGAAGACAGGCCAAGGCUAACCGAUGAGCGCCGAGGACCUCAGGCACCAGGCACCGCAGGGCUCCACUGGCCUUGUCCUUGGUGUCUUGGUUUCCUCUCAAGCGGGUCAAAAGAAUGCUGGUUCCCCACAGCAGAGUCUAUUCAGCCAUCCAACUCCUCAGCCUGUUCCAACUUCAACAAGCCUCUUUUGCUGUGGAGGAAUGAGCUAACUUGCUAUUUAUAGUGGACUUUAGAGUUUACAAGGUUGCUGCUUCUGGGCGGGACGUCAUUAAGAAGGGAUCAAUUUGCCGUGCUCUGGGGUGGGUUGGAUUCUACCGCCUCCAUCCAGCUGUGUAACCAAGGCAACGUUCAAAACAUUGAAUAACCAGUAGGACAGGCAUCAGCCAAUCAGAACAGAGUUUGCCGUAAUGGACAGGGACGCCCAAAUCUCUGUGUACCUGCUCAAAGUUCUGGACCAGCGUCAGCCUUAUUGAUUCUGGCUUCUCUCCUACUAAAUGGGGAUUUAGACGGUGUCAAGGUCUGGACUCUGCAGGUGUGGAGCAGUGCUGCCAUCUGUCCAGAAGAGGGCGCGAUCUGCAUUCUUCAGAACUGGAAGAACAAGAGCAGCAAGCCUGAGAAAUAAGGCUAUUCCUCCACCUGGAGUGGUGCAGUCUUUCAGUUCAAUAAUUAAAGAUGUAUUUUAAAA
This 5785-nucleotide long non-coding RNA is filed under the name Cricetulus griseus (Chinese hamster). RNAcentral's name for it is "lncRNA (ENSCGRG00015032388.1)". The record is from RNAcentral. Lineage: Eukaryota; Metazoa; Chordata; Mammalia; Rodentia; Cricetidae.